GACGAACGCUGGCGGCGUGCCUAAUACAUGCAAGUAGAACGCUCAGUUUAUAAGCUUACUCUUUUCAGAUUAGUCUGUAAGUGGUGAGUGACUCGUAAGUAACCUGCUAUCUAGCGUGGGAUCACUGUUUAACACGAUAGCUCAUACGGUAUAACCAUGUAUGAUUCAUUAUUGCUAUUUAAUAGAUUCAAAUGCUCCAUUACAAGAUUGACAUGCGUUGUAUUAGCUAGUAGGUGAGGUAAUGGCUUAACUAGGCGACGAUACAUAGCCGACCUGAGAGGGUGAUCGGCCACACUGGGACUGAGACACGGCCCAGACUCCUACGGGAGGCAGCAGUAGGGAAUCUUCGGCAAUGGACGAAAGUCUGACCGAGCAACGCCGCGUGAGUGAAGAAGGUUUUCGGAUCGUAAAGCUCUGUUGUAAGAGAAGAACGGGUGUGAGAGUGGAAAGUUCACACUGUGACGGUAGCUUACCAGAAAGGGACGGCUAACUACGUG
RNAcentral lists this ribosomal RNA (497 nucleotides) under uncultured bacterium. RNAcentral's name for it is "partial 16S ribosomal RNA". It matches the Rfam family "Bacterial small subunit ribosomal RNA", at positions 28 to 507 of the family's 1533-position model. The record is from RNAcentral.